RNAcentral lists this ribosomal RNA (189 nucleotides) under uncultured bacterium. RNAcentral describes it as "partial 16S ribosomal RNA". It matches the Rfam family "Bacterial small subunit ribosomal RNA", at positions 1314 to 1500 of the family's 1533-position model. The record is from RNAcentral.
GACUACAUGAAGCUGGAAUCGCUAGUAAUCGCGGAUCAGAAUGCCGCGGUGAAUACGUUCCCGGGUCUUGUACACACCGCCCGUCACACCAUGGGAGUCGGAAAUGCCCGAAGUCUGUGACCCAACCUGAGAGGGAGGGAGCAGCCGAAGGCAGGUCUGAUGACUGGGGUGAAGUCGUAACAAGGUAGC